AGAGUUUUGAUCCUGGCUCAGGAUGAACGCUAGCGACAGGCUUAACACAUGCAAGUCGAGGGGCAGCGGGAAGGUUAGCUUGCUAAUCUUUGCCGGCGACCGGCGCACGGGUGAGUAACACGUAUGCAACCUGUCCGGGUACAGGGGGAUAAGCGGCGGAAACGCCGUCUAAUACCGCGUGACAACCCGAGGGGGCAUCCCCUUGGGUUCAAAGGAGAGAUCCGGUACCGGCUGGGCAUGCGGCGCAUUAGCUAGUUGGCGGGGCAACGGCCCACCAAGGCGACGAUGCGUAGGGGUUCUGAGAGGAAGGUCCCCCACACUGGAACUGAGACACGGUCCAGACUCCUACGGGAGGCAGCAGUGAGGAAUAUUGGUCAAUGGGCGCAAGCCUGAACCAGCCAAGUCGCGUGAGGGAAGACGGCCCUACGGGUUGUAAACCUCUUUUGCCGGGGAGCAAGCCUGAGCACGUGUGCCCAGGCGGAGAGUACCCGGAGAAAAAGCAUCGGCUAACUCCGUG
RNAcentral lists this ribosomal RNA (517 nucleotides) under uncultured Porphyromonadaceae bacterium. RNAcentral describes it as "bacterial SSU rRNA". It matches the Rfam family "Bacterial small subunit ribosomal RNA", at positions 8 to 507 of the family's 1533-position model. The record is from RNAcentral. Lineage: Bacteria; Pseudomonadati; Bacteroidota; Bacteroidia; Bacteroidales; Porphyromonadaceae.